AAUGAAAUGUUAUUCGUUUUUAAAUAUAUCUAGUUUUUUAAGAAAUAAAUUUAAUUUAUUUAUUAUUAAUAAAAGAUUUAUUGAUUAAUUUUUUAUUAUUAAUAUUAAAUGUUUUAAGGGAUGAGCUUUAAAGCAGAUAUUUAUUAAUUUUUAUUGGUAAUUAAAUUGUAAGAUUAGAAUUUUCUAUCAUUAAAAGGAUGUUAAAAUUAAUUUAUUUAAUUUUAUUAUUUUUAUUAAUUAUAAAUUUUUUAUUAAAAUUUAAAUUAUAAUAUUGUAAAUUUAGUAAUAAUGAUAAAAUUAGUAUAAUUUAUUUUAUUAAGUAUUUAUAUUUAAAAGAUUUAAUAAAGGAAUUCGGCAAAAGAUUUUUUACCUGUUUAUUAAAAACAUGUCCUUUUGUAAAUAAUUUAAGGUCUAACCUGCCCACUGAAUUUUUAAAUGGCCGUGGUAUUUUGACCGUGCUAAGGUAGCAUAAUCAUUAGUUUUUUAAUUAAGAACUGGAAUGAAAGGUUGGAUAAGAAAAUAGCUGUCUCUAUUAAAUU
Molecule: ribosomal RNA, 539 nt
Filed under: Chrysolina herbacea
Lineage: Eukaryota; Metazoa; Arthropoda; Insecta; Coleoptera; Chrysomelidae
Description: partial 16S ribosomal RNA
Source: RNAcentral